CCUUUUCGGGAUCCCCUUUGGAAGGCUUCGGGUAAGGGGUAGCGGGGAGCAGGUGUGCGCGGACAGCCCGCAAAACCUAGAGCGUCUCCUCCAGGUAGCUGGUGGCGACAAGCGGCUACAAAGGCGGUGGGUCUCCCUCUCCUUGUUCGGCCGGCUGAAGUGGACUCAAGUAGCCUCAAGUGCAGAAGAGGUGGCGGCGAACUCCUGCGGGGCGGUGGCAACUCGUGGUGGUGGCGGAGGCGGUGAGUGGAGGCGUGGGCAGGCAGUGGAGCGGAAGCGGCCUCUGGGUGGUCUCCUCGCAACGGCGGUUGCGGGUUCUGGCGGUAGCAAAAGGAGACAAAACCUAACAGGCCUCACGCUGCGCUCGAUAACAGUCCUCACACUGAAAGACUUGGUCUUGGUUCCUAUAAGUCUGCUUCUCAUUCCAUGGUAAUCCUAGCGCUCAGACGUGAGUCGUAGUGGUCACCCGAUACUACCCUGAGUAGCAAUAAAAGACGAUGAAAGGCGACAAACUAACUUAUUUCGAUCGGUUCACGAUACGUCUAACAAAAUAAAAUAUAUAAGACCUAGUAUGUAACAUUAUUUA
Molecule: ribosomal RNA, 586 nt
Filed under: Triticum aestivum (bread wheat)
Lineage: Eukaryota; Viridiplantae; Streptophyta; Magnoliopsida; Poales; Poaceae
Description: partial small subunit ribosomal RNA
Source: RNAcentral